GACAGAGGUGCCAAGCGUUGUUCGGAUUUACUGGGCUUAAAGCGCAGGUAGGCGGGCCCGCAAGUUGGUUGUGAAAUCCCCCGGCUCAACCGGGGAACCGCUUCCAAUACUGCGGGCCUUGAGGCAGGUAAGGGUCACUGGAAUUCCCGGUGGAGCGGUGAAAUGCGUAGAUAUCGGGAAGAACGCCUGUGGUGAAAACGGGUGACUGGGCCUGCCCUGACGCUGAGCUGCGAAAGCCAGGGGAG
This 245-nucleotide ribosomal RNA is filed under the name uncultured bacterium. RNAcentral describes it as "partial 16S ribosomal RNA". It matches the Rfam family "Bacterial small subunit ribosomal RNA", at positions 524 to 768 of the family's 1533-position model. The record is from RNAcentral.